RNAcentral lists this ribosomal RNA (133 nucleotides) under Mycena pura. Its description in RNAcentral is "partial large subunit ribosomal RNA". It matches the Rfam family "Eukaryotic large subunit ribosomal RNA", at positions 99 to 229 of the family's 3401-position model. The record is from RNAcentral. Lineage: Eukaryota; Fungi; Basidiomycota; Agaricomycetes; Agaricales; Mycenaceae.
CGGGAAAAGCUCAAAUUUAAAAUCUGGCGGCUUCGCCGUCCGAGUUGUAAUUUAGAGAAGUGCUAUCCGCGCUGGACCGUGUACAAGUCUCCUGGAAUGGAGCGUCAUAGAGGGUGAGAAUCCCGUAUGUGAC